This is a long non-coding RNA of Magnolia sinica, 1448 nucleotides long. RefSeq lists it as uncharacterized. The transcript has 4 exons. The record is from RefSeq and is a predicted model, not a curated record. NCBI's taxonomy places the organism in Eukaryota, Viridiplantae, Streptophyta, Magnoliopsida, Magnoliales, Magnoliaceae.
CACUCUUAUGACAUCGGUACUAAUGAAUUGAAUUGAAAUAACUAAUCCAAGAUAGAUGAAAGUCUUGAAGUUACAACUACUUUCUCAAGUAUAUUCAUAAUGAGGGAGUCUCCUUCAAAUUGAGUUUCUUUCUUUUCAAGUCCAACUCAAAACUAACAUGGUGUAGCAGGGGAAGUUGCUUUGACUUCAAGUGGUGGAUUGAAGAAGCUAUCUUUAUUAAUUGAUAACUAUGAAGAGGUUGCACUAGUAAAUCAUCUAUACCAACUCUCUUACUUGAUAUUCUUGCAAUUUCCAUUUUCUUUCAUGCUCAUUUCUUGCCACAUUAAUGCCAGAUAUUUACUCAAACUCUCUAAGUGCAUCAUGAAAAUACAAUUCUGGUCAAUCUUAGGAUCUCAACAAAAUGGACCUAUCUACACAAUGCAGUUGGACCAUUCCACGAAUGUAGAAGAAAAUUUGGAAGCCAGGCAGGGGAAAACAACAUUCCACCACUACUUUUCAAGAUUUUGCACGCCAAUUUUUCUGGAGAUGUAUCUUCUAUUUAAUUCAAGAAUCCAAAUUCGCUAGUUAUCCUAAUUGAUAACUCUUUUUAGACGUUCAUUGUGUUUGUUGAAAUUCUUCCCAUCAUCUUCCCACCAACUAUGUUCAGUUGUAGAUUGUUUGUGUUGGACUUUUGCAAUGCAACCAUGUAGAUUUGAUCAUAUCCCUGCUACUUGCUCGUUCAAUUUAACUCUGAUGAUGUGCAACCAUGAUAAAGAAGGAAAUAGAUCAUAUGUAUCUACAUGAAUAUCAUUUUGAUUUUAAAGUUGAACUCUUGAAAAUUGCAAAUUUUUUCUCUCCAAACAGUCUUAACUAAUCGUGUAAUCAUGCAAGAGGCUCAGUGACGUGUCUAUUGGGAGCUCGUCGUUGAAUUUUAUUGAGAAUAUGACAUCUUUAACUAACUUGUAAGACCAUAUGAUCUCAUCAUAUGCAGUAAUACUAAUCUGUUAGAUCUUUUGUUUUUUCUUUUUUCAUCCAUGCCUCGGAAACUUAAAAUAAGAUACUCAUACAUUUUUGAUUUGUGCUUUUCUCUACAGGGUCCUAAGAAACAAUAUGCCUUCUGGUACUAUUCCAUCCACCAUUGGAAAACACCUAUUAUUGAUGCAGAUUCUAUGUGACGGGAGUCGACCCCACUGCCUUUAAUGUUUAUGGAAAAGGGUCUUUAGUAAUAUCAUGAUUCCUGUUGGGUUUCUGGAAUACGGGUUUUAAUGUUGAUAUGAUGGAGUACAAGAAUAUUAGCUUCACUGUUUAGGAUGUCAGGGGUCAGGACAAGAUCAGACCGUUAUGGAGGCACUAUUUCCAAAACACACAGGGACUCAUUUUUGUUGUUGACAGCAAUGACAAAGACCGUGUAGUUAAGGCGAGGGAUGAACUCCCAGGAUGCUGAAUGAGUUAAAUUUUCUUCAAAAAAG